CCUACGGGAGGCAGCAGUGAGGAAUAUUGGUCAAUGGACGAGAGUCUGAACCAGCCAAGUAGCGUGAAGGAUGACUGCCCUAUGGGUUGUAAACUUCUUUUAUAUGGGAGUAAAAUGUUCCACGUGUGGGAUUUUGUAUGUACCAUAUGAAUAAGGAUCGGCUAACUCCGUGCCAGCAGCCGCGGUAAUACGGAGGAUGCGAGCGUUAUCCGGAUUUAUUGGGGUUAAAGGGAGCGUAGGUGGAUGGUUAAGUCAGUUGUGAAAGUUUGCGGCUCAACCGUAAAAGUGCAGUUGAAACUGGCAGUCUUGAGUACAGUAGAGGUGGGCGGAAUUCGAGGUGUAGCGGUGAAAUGCUUAGAGAUCACGAAGAACUCCGAUUGCGAAGGCAGCUCACUGGACUGCAACUGACACUGAGGCUCGAAAGUGUGGGUAGCAAACAGGAUUAGAUACCCUUGUAGUC
Molecule: ribosomal RNA, 460 nt
Filed under: uncultured bacterium
Lineage: Bacteria
Description: partial 16S ribosomal RNA
Rfam family: Bacterial small subunit ribosomal RNA
Source: RNAcentral